GACGAACGCUGGCGGCGUGCCUAACACAUGCAAGUCGAACGGGGUUACCCUUCGGGGUAACUUAGUGGCGAACGGGUGAGUAACGCGUGAGAAACCUGCCUCUCAGUGGGGGACAACAGUUGGAAACGACUGCUAAUACCGCAUAACACUUUAGUACCGCAUGGUACAGAAGUCAAAGCUUUAUGUGCUGAGAGAUGGUCUCGCGUCUGAUUAGCUAGUUGGCGGGGUAACGGCCCACCAAGGCGACGAUCAGUAGCCGGUCUGAGAGGAUGAACGGCCACAUUGGGACUGAGAUACGGCCCAGACUCCUACGGGAGGCAGCAGUGGGGAAUAUUGGGCAAUGGGGGAAACCCUGACCCAGCAACGCCGCGUGAAGGAAGAAGGCCUUCGGGUUGUAAACUUCUUUACCAGGGACGAAGAGCGUGACGGUACCUGGAGAAAAGCAACGGCUAACUACGUG
RNAcentral lists this ribosomal RNA (460 nucleotides) under uncultured bacterium. RNAcentral describes it as "bacterial SSU rRNA". It matches the Rfam family "Bacterial small subunit ribosomal RNA", at positions 28 to 507 of the family's 1533-position model. The record is from RNAcentral.